CCGAAUUUUGGAAUAUUUUGUAAAUAAGAAUUGUAGCCCUUGAAAUUAGCUUUCCAAUGCCGCCAAAAUCACCUAAUUCGGAGUUUGUAUGAGAGAGAUAUGCUCGAAAUCGUGGACACUGUCAAAGCUGUGGCGAGAUUCCUUCUUCCAAUUUGAUUUGUUUCCUUAUUUGCAACUUUUUCCUUUCUUUUUGAUCUUUUUUUCCUUCAUUGAC
Molecule: long non-coding RNA, 214 nt
Filed under: Erythranthe guttata (spotted monkey flower)
Lineage: Eukaryota; Viridiplantae; Streptophyta; Magnoliopsida; Lamiales; Phrymaceae
Description: long non-coding RNA (EGUT_LNC003177)
Source: RNAcentral